RNAcentral lists this ribosomal RNA (540 nucleotides) under uncultured bacterium. RNAcentral describes it as "bacterial SSU rRNA". It matches the Rfam family "Bacterial small subunit ribosomal RNA", at positions 777 to 1311 of the family's 1533-position model. The record is from RNAcentral.
AAUAGAUACCCCGGUAGUCCACGCCGUAAACGAUGAGUGCUAAGUGUUAGAGGGUUUCCGCCCUUUAGUGCUGCAGCUAACGCAUUAAGCACUCCGCCUGGGGAGUACGGCCGCAAGGCUGAAACUCAAAGGAAUUGACGGGGGCCCGCACAAGCGGUGGAGCAUGUGGUUUAAUUCGAAGCAACGCGAAGAACCUUACCAGGUCUUGACAUCCUCUGCCACUCCUAGAGAUAGGACGUUCCCCCUUCGGGGGGACAGAGUGACAGGUGGUGCAUGGUUGUCGUCAGCUCGUGUCGUGAGAUGUUGGGUUAAGUCCCGCAACGAGCGCAACCCUUGUUCUUAGUUGCCAGCAUUCAGUUGGGCACUCUAAGGAGACUGCCGGUGACAAACCGGAGGAAGGUGGGGAUGACGUCAAAUCAUCAUGCCCCUUAUGACCUGGGCUACACACGUGCUACAAUGGAUGGUACAAAGGGCUGCGAAACCGCGAGGUUAAGCCAAUCCCAUAAAAACCAUUCUCAGUUCCGGAUUGUAGGCUGCUAA